AUACGGAGGGUGCAAGCGUUAUUCGGAAUCACUGGACGUAAAGGACGCGUAGGCGGGUUGGCAAGUCAGAUGUGAAAUCCUACAGCUUAACUGUAGAACUGCAUUUGAAACUGCUAACCUAGAGUAGGCGAGGGGGAGAUGGAAUUAGUGGUGUAGGGGUAAAAUCCGUAGAUAUCACUAGGAAUACCGAAAGCGAAGGCGAUCUCCUGGAACAUAACUGACGCUAAGGCGUGAAAGCGUGGGGAGCAAACAGAAGUAGAAACCCUAGUAGUCC
RNAcentral lists this ribosomal RNA (274 nucleotides) under uncultured bacterium. RNAcentral describes it as "partial 16S ribosomal RNA". It matches the Rfam family "Bacterial small subunit ribosomal RNA", at positions 523 to 796 of the family's 1533-position model. The record is from RNAcentral.